AGAGUUUGAUCCUGGCUCAGGACGAACGCUGGCGGCGUGCUUAACACAUGCAAGUCGAACGGAAAGGCCCUUCGGGGUACUCGAGUGGCGAACGGGUGAGUAACACGUGGGUGAUCUGCCCUGCACUUUGGGAUAAGCCUGGGAAACUGGGUCUAAUACCGAAUAGGACCACGCGCUUCAUGGUGUGUGGUGGAAAGCUUUUGCGGUGUGGGAUGGGCCCGCGGCCUAUCAGCUUGUUGGUGGGGUAAUGGCCUACCAAGGCGACGGCGGGUAGCCGGCCUGAGAGGGUGACCGGCCACACUGGGACUGAGAUACGGCCCAGACUCCUACGGGAGGCAGCAGUGGGGAAUAUUGCACAAUGGGCGCAAGCCUGAUGCAGCGACGCCGCGUGAGGGAUGACGGCCUUCGGGUUGUAAACCUCUUUCAAUAGGGACGAAGCGUGAGUGACGGUACCUAUAGAAGAAGCACCGGCCAACUACGUGCCAGCAGCCGCGGUAAUACGUAGGGUGCGAGCGUUGUCCGGAAUUACUGGGCGUAAAGAGCUCGUAGGUGGUUUGUCGCGUUGUUCGUGAAAACUCACAGCUUAACUGUGGGCGUGCGGGCGAUACGGGCAGACUAGAGUACUGCAGGGGAGACUGGAAUUCCUGGUGUAGCGGUGGAAUGCGCAGAUAUCAGGAGGAACACCGGUGGCGAAGGCGGGUCUCUGGGCAGUAACUGACGCUGAGGAGCGAAAGCGUGGGGAGCGAACAAAAUUAGAUACCCUGGUAGUCCACGCCGUAAACGGUGGGUACUAGGUGUGGGUUCCUUCCUUGGGAUCCGUGCCGUAGCUAACGCAUUAAGUACCCCGCCUGGGGAGUACGGCCGCAAGGCUAAAACUCAAAGGAAUAGACGGGGGCCCGCACAAGCGGCGGAGCAUGUGGAUUAAUUCGAUGCAACGCGAAGAACCUUACCUGGGUUUGACAUGCACAGGACGCCGGCAGAGAUGUCGGUUCCCUUGUGGCCUGUGUGCAGGUGGUGCAUGGCUGUCGUCAGCUCGUGUCGUGAGAUGUUGGGUUAAGUCCCGCAACGAGCGCAACCCCCGUCCUAUGUUGCCAGCGAGUUAUGCCGGGGACUCGUAGGAGACUGCCGGGGUCAACUCGGAGGAAGGUGGGGAGGACGUCAAGUCAUCAUGCCCCCUAUGUCCAGGGCUUCACACAUGCUACAAUGGCCGGUACAAAGGGCUGCGAUGCCGUGAGGUGGAGCGAAUCCUUUCAAAGCCGGUCUCAGUUCGGAUCGGGGUGUGCAACUCGACCCCGCGAAGUCGGAGUCGCUAGUAAUCGCAGAUCAGCAACGCUGCGGUGAAUACGUUCCCGGGCCUUGCACUCACCGCCCGUCA
This 1375-nucleotide ribosomal RNA is filed under the name uncultured bacterium. Its description in RNAcentral is "bacterial SSU rRNA". It matches the Rfam family "Bacterial small subunit ribosomal RNA". The record is from RNAcentral.